UCUUCCUUCUGGAAGCCUUGAGCUGAGUCCUCCUUCGGGACUCCUCCCACUGAUGCCUCCCAUCAUGUACCCACGGGAUGCUGGUAGAUGUUUGUGGUCAGCUUUCUUUUGUUCCCGUGAGGUGGAUUCGAGACUCUGAGAAAGAAACACCCCUUCUCAAUUCCACCACAAGUUCUGCCUCUUCAACCCUCAAAAAAUCCUAAUUGUCAAGAAAUCACAUCUUAUGCAUUUUGGUGCUCCACAACACUUCCUGAAGGCCUGUGUGAGGCAGGAGCUCAAGAUCUACUUGUUCACUGCAUGGUUGUUUGUGAUCUGUCACUCAGUGAGUGACCAAGGGAAACUACCUCUGAAGAGAGCAGACACCGACAUUUCCUUCCCUCCCCGUAGAUGAAUGCUGCAAUGCAUUUCAAGGGGUAGAGUCUAAGUCCCUUUCCUUUCCUUUCCUCUCCCCUUUCCUUUCUUUCCUCUCCCCUUCCCUUCCCUUCCCUUUCCUUUUCCUUUCCUUUUUCCUUUGUGAGACAGUCUCCCUCUGUUACCUAGGCUGGAGUGCAGUGGCACCAUCUCGGCUCACUGCAACCUCCGCCUCCAGGGUUCAAGUGAUUCUUGUGCCUCAGCCACCCAGGUGGCUGGGAUUACAUGCAUGCACCACCACAUCUGGCUAAUGUUUGUAUUUUUAGGAGAGACGGGGUUUCACCAUGUUGGCCAGACUGGUCUUGAACUCCUGGCCUCAAGUGAUCUGCCUGCCUCGACCUCCCAAAGUGCUGGGAUUACAGGUGUGAGCCACUGCGCCCAGCAAAUUCCCUUUUCUUUGAAUUGGGGCUGACCUUAGUGACUUAAGAGUGGAAGGGACAUCUUGUGUCUUCCCGGGCAUGGAGUUAAGAAGCCUUACGGGUCUCAUCUAGCUCUCUUGGAACUUUGCUCUCGAGACACUCCUUCUCAGACCCCAGCCCCCAUGCUAAGUGGACUCCUGAGCCACCUGGAAAGGCCGUGCAUCAACUCUCCAGUUGAUUGUCCCAGCUGAGUUCUCAGCAGACAAUUAGCAUCACCUACCGGCCACAUAAAUGAGCCAUCUUGUAUUUGCAUCCAGUUGAGUCUUGCGCUAACUGUAGCACUAACCAAUAUCUAACAACAAUCACCUAAGAGAUCCCACAUGAAAACUGCUGAGCUGAGCCCAGUGAACUCGCAGAACCAUAAGACACAAAAAUCAAUUGUCCAGUGAUGAAGUGUUGGGGCCAUUUGUAAUGCAGAAAUAGAUAACCGGAAGAGUGACUAAGCCAGGAAGAGAACCUGGAAGAAGUUGUCUUGAUCACCGAGGAGUCUUACUGGAGUGAACAAUGCCCCAUUUCCAGGUGAAUGGCAAUGGAGUAGUUGUCCGAGGGUACUCAAUACUCAAGAGUCAGCUGAUCAUGUCCUUAGAUGCACCAGAAAUGAUGGAAUACCUGAAGCUGGGAAUUUAUAAAGAAUAGAGGUGUAUUUGGCUCACAGUUCUGCAAGCUCUACAGGAAGCAUGGCAUCAGCCAGGGCUCAGCUUCUGGAAGAGUAGAAUAACGCUUAAUCACCAUUAUCACUGGAGAUGGUACCAAGAUGAAUCUGCGUAAAUGAACCUUACUAGAUACCCCUUAUCUAACCUAUCUAUAGUUUCCCCCUUAUAUUUACUUUCCCACAGUUUACAACCCCUAGAAGCCCAAACCCAUUUUUCUUUGUCUAGUUACCUCUCCACAAUUUGUCACCCUUUGUUAAAAUGAUAUAAACUCUCAGGCCUAACCACUGCUUUAGGUUUCACUUCUUUUCUGUGA
This 1796-nucleotide long non-coding RNA is filed under the name Homo sapiens (human). RNAcentral describes it as "HSALNT0263777". Lineage: Eukaryota; Metazoa; Chordata; Mammalia; Primates; Hominidae. The record is from RNAcentral.